GAAGAAAAGAAAAAUCACACACGUAUGUCAUGUCGGUCUGUCAAUAGAGGGAAGCCACGCCCUAUUUUGGAGCUCCCACCCCGUUCAGGAGAUCUCCAGGCUACUGCGAUAUACUCUUAUACAUCCCGUCAACGGCGGGGAAAGAGUCAAAUGUAGUACAAUAAUGCACUUACAAUGGACAUUUAGGCAAACAUUAGAGGAAAUGUGAAGCCUUUAAAGCACUUAUAUUAGUUCUUCCUUUCGAAAAUGUGUUAAAUUAGCUGUAAGGUUGUAAUGAAAUAAAAUUUUCAUUUAAUUCGAUGAAACACUCAACGAAAAGAAAACUUGCAAUGUUGCCUAGACA
Long non-coding RNA from Rhinichthys klamathensis goyatoka, 343 nucleotides. RefSeq lists it as uncharacterized. Lineage: Eukaryota; Metazoa; Chordata; Actinopteri; Cypriniformes; Leuciscidae. The record is from RefSeq and is a predicted model, not a curated record. The transcript is spliced from 3 exons.